Molecule: ribosomal RNA, 460 nt
Filed under: uncultured bacterium
Lineage: Bacteria
Description: bacterial SSU rRNA
Rfam family: Bacterial small subunit ribosomal RNA
Source: RNAcentral
CCUACGGGUGGCUGCAGUGAGGAAUAUUGGUCAAUGGGCGAAAGCCUGAACCAGCCAUGCCGCGUGCAGGUAGACGGCCCUAUGGGUUGUAAACUGCUUUUAUACAGGAAGAAAUCCCUUAAUGUAUUGAGGGUUGACGGUACUGUACGAAUAAGGAUCGGCUAACUCCGUGCCAGCAGCCGCGGUAAUACGGAGGAUCCAAGCGUUAUCCGGAUUUAUUGGGUUUAAAGGGUGCGUAGGCGGGGUAGUAAGUCAGUGGUGAAAUCCUACAGCUCAACUGUAGAACUGCCAUUGAUACUGCUAUUCUUGAGUAUAGUUGAGGUGGGCGGAAUGUGUAAUGUAGCGGUGAAAUGCAUAGAUAUUACACAGAACACCGAUUGCGUAGGCAGCUCACUAGACUACUACUGACGCUGAGGCACGAAAGCGUGGGGAGCGAACAGGAUUAGAUACCCUGGUAGUC